GUGGUUAUAGCUCAGUUGGUUAGAGUGCCAGGUUGUGGCCCUGGAGGUCGAGGGUUCGAAUCCCUCUAACCACCCCA
This 77-nucleotide transfer RNA is filed under the name Clostridia bacterium. RNAcentral describes it as "tRNA-His". It matches the Rfam family "tRNA". From Rfam's summary of the family: Transfer RNA (tRNA) molecules are approximately 80 nucleotides in length. Lineage: Bacteria; Bacillati; Bacillota; Clostridia. RNAcentral also lists the same sequence under 1 other name. The record is from RNAcentral.